GGGGAAUUAGCUCAAAUGGUAGAGCGCUUGCUUAGCGUUUGAGAGGUAGUGGGGUCGAUACCCACAUUCUUCA
RNAcentral lists this transfer RNA (73 nucleotides) under Perca fluviatilis (European perch). It matches the Rfam family "tRNA". Rfam says of the family: Transfer RNA (tRNA) molecules are approximately 80 nucleotides in length. Their secondary structure includes four short double-helical elements and three loops (D, anti-codon, and T loops). The record is from Rfam by way of RNAcentral. Lineage: Eukaryota; Metazoa; Chordata; Actinopteri; Perciformes; Percidae.